This is a long non-coding RNA of Raphanus sativus (radish), 853 nucleotides long. RefSeq lists it as uncharacterized. Lineage: Eukaryota; Viridiplantae; Streptophyta; Magnoliopsida; Brassicales; Brassicaceae. The transcript is spliced from 2 exons. The record is from RefSeq and is a predicted model, not a curated record.
UGGAGGCGACACGUCAUGUGCCUUUGACGCACCCUUUCAUUUAUUCGACGUACAUUUGGGCUUGAAUCGUUUAUUUGGUGUGUUUGGGCCUCCGAGAUUGUGUCGCCUCACGGCCCUUCAGUUGCAGUAGCCUCUAACCCUAAUACAAUUGGAUCAAUGACGAGCAGUUCGGGUCUCCUCUUCAUGCGGCGGCGAUCCGAUGACCUCUGCACUUCUUCUCACGACCUGAAACGGUGUGAUUAAUAACUCACUCAUAAAUCCAAUUUAUUGGCUCCACCACGAUGUCUUCAAAUCAUCCUUUCGAUUUUGGAGACGGUGACAUGAUCUGUAUAAAUAGAGAAGGUGGUGGAGGAGGAGCAGCGUCGUCGUGGCGGCGAUCCGUGUUGUGGAGAAGUGAGAGAUUGGUUUGAGGAGAGGGAAGGUGAGAGGUUGAACAGAGUGAGAUCGGAUAGUGGGAAGAGACUGGAGAGAGAUGGUUGGUGGCGGAGAUCUCGAUGAGAUACCGCGGAGGAGAGACAGGCAUGAGGGAUGGUGGUGGAAGAAUGAAGCGGUGGUGGAGAGAGAGAGAGAGUGAAGUGUGAAGCUCUCCAUCGCCGGAGACUAGAGAGAUGUGCGAAGUUUUUUAGUUUUCUUGGUCAGUGACUGUGUGUCUGUUCUAUGACCGAAGAGCUAUGGAUGAGUCGUGGAUGUGAAGAAGACAAUUAAAUUAUUAAACCUAAUCUAAAAAGUCUUCGGUUCUUUUUUUUAACCGACUUAAUAUUUUCACUUUAGGUCUUUAAUUCUUUGUUUUAUACUAGGAUUUAAUUUUGGUAAGUUAUUAAAUAUUAUAUCAGAUUUUCAAUUUUUUUAAAAA